Molecule: ribosomal RNA, 498 nt
Filed under: uncultured bacterium
Lineage: Bacteria
Description: partial 16S ribosomal RNA
Rfam family: Bacterial small subunit ribosomal RNA
Source: RNAcentral
AUUGAACGCUGGCGGCAUGCUUUACACAUGCAAGUCGAACGGGCUUAGGUGCUUGCACCUAAGUUAGUGGCGAACGGGUGAGUAAUGCAUCGGAACGUACCGUGUAGUGGGGGAUAACCCGGCGAAAGUCGGAUUAAUACCGCAUACGAUCUAAGGAUGAAAGCAGGGGAUCGCAAGACCUUGCGCUAUACGAGCGGCCGAUGUCGGAUUAGCUAGUUGGUAGGGUAAAGGCCUACCAAGGCAACGAUCCGUAGCGGGUCUGAGAGGAUGAUCCGCCACACUGGGACGGAGACACGGCCCAGACUCCUACGGGAGGCAGCAGUGGGGAAUUUUGGACAAUGGACGAAAGCCUGAUCCAGCCAUGCCGCGUGAGUGAAGAAGGCCUUCGGGUUGUAAAGCUCUUUUGUCCGGGAGCAAAUCCUGUUCACUAAUACUGAGCGGGGCUGAGAGUACCGGAAGAAUAAGCACCGGCUAACUACGUGCCAGCAGCCGCGGUAA